RNAcentral lists this ribosomal RNA (433 nucleotides) under uncultured bacterium. Its description in RNAcentral is "partial 16S ribosomal RNA". It matches the Rfam family "Bacterial small subunit ribosomal RNA", at positions 29 to 507 of the family's 1533-position model. The record is from RNAcentral.
AACGAACGCUGGCGGCAUGCCUAACACAUGCAAGUCGAACGAGACCUUCGGGUCUAGUGGCGCACGGGUGCGUAACGCGUGGGAACCUGCCCUUAGGUUCGGAAUAACUCUCCGAAAGGGGUGCUAAUACCGGAUAAUGUCUUCGGACCAAAGAUUUAUCGCCUUUGGAUGGGCCGGCGUUGGAUUAGCUAGUUGGUAGGGUAAAAGCCUACCAAGGCGACGAUCCAUAGCUGGUCUGAGAGGAUGAUCAGCCACACUGGGACUGAGACACGGCCCAGACUCCUACGGGAGGCAGCAGAGGGUAAUGUUGGAAAAUGGGCGAAAGCCUGAUCCAGCUAUGCCGCGAGAGUGAUGAAAGCCUUAGAGUUGUAAAGCUCUUUUACCCGGGAUGAUAAUGACAGUACCUGGAGAAUAAGCUCCGGCUAACUCCGUG